This 305-nucleotide ribosomal RNA is filed under the name uncultured organism. RNAcentral's name for it is "bacterial SSU rRNA". It matches the Rfam family "Bacterial small subunit ribosomal RNA", at positions 84 to 413 of the family's 1533-position model. The record is from RNAcentral.
UUGAAGACAAAGUGGCGAACGGGUGCGUAACGCGUGGGAAUCUGCCAAACAGUUUGGGCCGAAUCCCAAAGAAACGAGAGCAAAAAAGCUUCGAUAAAGCUAAAAAGCGCUGUUUGAUGAGCCUGCGUAGUAUUAGGUUGCUGGUUGGGUAAAGGCUGACCAAGCCGCAGAUGCUUAGCUGAUCUUUUCGGACGAUCAGCCACACUGGGACUGAGACACGGCCCAGACUCCGUAGGGAGGCAGCAGUGGGGAAUAUUGGACAAUGGGCGAAAGCCCGAUCCAGCAAUAUCGCGUGAGUGAGUGAA